RNAcentral lists this ribosomal RNA (301 nucleotides) under uncultured bacterium. RNAcentral describes it as "partial 16S ribosomal RNA". It matches the Rfam family "Bacterial small subunit ribosomal RNA", at positions 509 to 806 of the family's 1533-position model. The record is from RNAcentral.
CAGUAGCCGCCACGGUAAUGCGUAGGGGGCAAGCGUUAUCCGGAAUUACUGGGUGUAAAGGGAGCGUAGACGGUUAAACAAGUCUGAAGUGAAAUGCCGGGGCUCAACCCCGGAGCUGCUUUGGGAACUGUAGAACUGGAGUGUCGGAGGGGUAAGCGGAACUCCCAGUGUAGCGGCGAAAUGCGUAGAUAUUGAGAGGAACACCGGCGGCGAAGGCGGCUUAUUGGACGACAACUGACGUUGAGGCUCGAAGGCGUGGGUAGCAAACAGGAUUAGAUACCCGGGUAGUCCCUGUCUCUUU